This is a non-coding RNA of Globomyces sp. JEL0801, 83 nucleotides long. NCBI's taxonomy places the organism in Eukaryota, Fungi, Chytridiomycota, Chytridiomycetes, Rhizophydiales, Globomycetaceae. The record is from the annotation of a GenBank genome assembly.
GUCGAUAUGGCCGAGUGGUCUAAGGCGAAUGACUUGAAAUCAUUUCCUCUCUGAGGGCGCAGGUUCAAACCCUGCUGUCGACG